Molecule: ribosomal RNA, 253 nt
Filed under: uncultured bacterium
Lineage: Bacteria
Description: partial 16S ribosomal RNA
Rfam family: Bacterial small subunit ribosomal RNA
Source: RNAcentral
UACGUAGGUGGCAAGCGUUGUCCGGAAUUAUUGGGCGUAAAGCGCGCGCAGGCGGUCCUUUAAGUCUGAUGUGAAAGCCCACGGCUCAACCGUGGAGGGUCAUUGGAAACUGGGGGACUUGAGUGCAGGAGAGAAGAGUGGAAUUCCACGUGUAGCGGUGAAAUGCGUAGAGAUGUGGAGGAACACCAGUGGCGAAGGCGGCACUCUGGGCCGGAACUGACGCUGAGGAGCGAAAGCGUGGGUAGCAAACAGG